RNAcentral lists this long non-coding RNA (1092 nucleotides) under Oryctolagus cuniculus (rabbit). RNAcentral describes it as "lncRNA (ENSOCUG00000034948.1)". Lineage: Eukaryota; Metazoa; Chordata; Mammalia; Lagomorpha; Leporidae. The record is from RNAcentral.
AUGGCGGAUGGAGGACGCCAGCUUCUGCUGGGGACCUCGGCGCUGAACUCCCGCGCGUGCCGGCAGCCACUCUCGAAACGCAGGCCCUUGUUGGCAAGUUCCAGGCCCCCGCUGGGCUACAGGACAGCUCCUGCUCUCCCAGGAGGUCCGUGCGACAGCGUCGUGAGUCUGGCCGGGCCCUCUCAUCUUGACAGGAGGAGAGAGAACAGGCCUCAGCUCCCCCACAGGGCCGGGGCCGGACAGGAGCAGGGCGGGUUGUCGAAAGUCUCCCCAAGUCUCUCCCCCCACCCCUGCCCCAGGUUCACAGCUGAGCCUUGGAGGUCUCCCCAAUUCUCUCCCUCCCCCACCCCUACCCCAGGACCCAGAGCUGAGCCUUGGAGGUCUCCCCAAGUCUCUCCCCCCACCCCUGCCCCAGGACCCACAGCUGAGCCUUGGAGGUCUCCCAGAGUCUCUCCUCCCACCCCUGCCCCAGGUUCACAGCUGAGCCUUGGAGGUCUCCCCAAGUCUCUCCCCCCACCCCUGCCCCAGGACCCACAGCUGAGCCUUGGAGAUCUCCCCAAGUUUCUCCCCCCUCCACCCCUGCCCCUGGACCCACAGCUGAGCCUUGGAGAUCUCCCCAAGUCUCUCCCCCCCAUACCUGCCCCAGGACCCACAGCUGAGCCUUGGAGGUCUCCCCAAGUCUCUCCCCCCACCCCUGCCCCAGGACCCACAGCUGAGCCUUUAAGGUCUCCCAGAGUCUCUCCCCCCUCCACCCUGGUCCCUGGACCCACAGCUGAGCCUUGGAGGUCUCCCAGAGUCUCUCUCCCCUCCACCCCUGCCCCUGGACCCACAGCUGAGCCUUGGAGGUCUCCCAGAGUCUCUCCCCCCCCUCCACCCCAGCCCCUGGACCCACAGCUGAGCCUUGGAGGUCUCCCAGAGUCUCUCCCCCCACCCCUGCCCCAGGACCCAGAGCUGAGCCUUGGCACAGCCUGCCCCUGCCCAGGCUCCUCCACCUGUGCUCACAGCCAGAAUUCACUUGUUCUGCACCCAAAAGGCAAGCACCCCGUUUGGGGAAAGCAUGUUCGACAGACACUGCGUGACAGAUCGGAGUGA